RNAcentral lists this long non-coding RNA (1360 nucleotides) under Sus scrofa (pig). Its description in RNAcentral is "lncRNA (ENSSSCG00015046685.1)". The record is from RNAcentral. Lineage: Eukaryota; Metazoa; Chordata; Mammalia; Artiodactyla; Suidae.
AUGGGACGCCAGGGGGCUGGAAGGACAGACCAGACCCUUGACUGGUGGAAGCACAGGCACUGGCUGACGGCCCCAGGCGCAGAGCUCCAGGCUUGGAAAUGCUGCGGGGCGACAGGACGGGCCCAGCAGCCCCUCGCUGGCUCCGGGCAGCAGACGCACAAGAGGACAGGGGCCCAAGGAGUUUCCAAAGCCUGCCCUGCACCGGACCCCCUCCAGCCCUGCCCGGCGGCGUCACAGGAGCUCCCAGAGCGGCGUUUUCACGAACACGGAGUCGAGUCUGAGGGCGAAGACCAGUUUUUAUUGGACUUGGCUUUGAGGAGCCGUGACAAACCCGGAGACGCGAAUACAAACGGAGUGUAAACAAAGUCCUGGCCAGCAGCGAGGAAAGUUCAGAGAAAACACACACACGCGUCAAAAGACGACUCAAUUUCAUGUCUUUCCAACACUAAUAGCUGCUUCCCGAUGAUGUGCUUGUCUUUGUGCUCUGAGCUCAGCAAAAGUUAGAAAGAAUAACACGCUGGCAAAGGGUGACACCAAAUUGUACAAAAUCGGGGCGCCUGUGGGGUCCGGGAGAUGACGGUUUUACAAAACGCUACAGGAUCCGCCAGCGUUAAUUUAAAUGACUUCCUUUUUUGGACGUGCAGGCCCCCUUGGCGACUUUACCUAGGAAAACAUCGGGCACCCAACAGAAAACUGGAGUGGGUUUUAAAUACGCUUUUGUUAUGGGACACGCUCUUGUGUGCGGAGUGAGUCUUCCAAAAAAUUGUAUUUUUUCUUCUGUGGUCAAGAUUUAGGCAGUAAAAACAAGCCACAGGAACCCCCCUGAGCUCACCCACAAGACAGAGGAGGUCAGGACGGCUUUAGACAAGGACGCGUGGAACCCAGGACGCCCGGUCCCUCCGGCCCCCAGGGCACAGGCGGGACGUCCCCCUCGGGCACACCUACAGGACGGCCUACCGAGCAGAGGGAGCCCCCGCCCCCGAGUGGAGAACACACGGCCACUUUGCUGCCCCCCGUCUUGCUGAGGCCUUAGCACACGGCCCACUUGGCACGGGACCUGACGUUAAAGCCGAAAUAGAAACUGUUGGGAAGACAGUCUGACCAAGGAUAAUGAGACUUAACAGCAGCAGGAUGUUGACAAGCUCUGAGUACUCACACCCCGCCUUCCACACUAGCAGGGUGGUCCGGCUGGACCGAGGCAGACGCAGCCCCCACGGCAAAGGUGGACGGCUCUCUCGUCCGUGGGACUUCUCGUGACAAUGGCUGUUGUACACUCGAUGCUAACGACUUGCUUCUUCGCGGCCUCGUUACGAGCAAACCACGGGGGGCAGACAGAGGACCAAGCUCACACCUCCUCCUC